Molecule: long non-coding RNA, 100 nt
Organism: Thalassophryne amazonica
Lineage: Eukaryota; Metazoa; Chordata; Actinopteri; Batrachoidiformes; Batrachoididae
Exons: 3
Source: RefSeq, a predicted model, not a curated record
CGUGGUAAUUCCAGCUCCAACAGCAUAUCUUAAAGUUGCUGCAGUUAAAAAGCUCGUAGUUGGAUCUCGGGAUCGAGCUGCUGACGUCCCGCCGCGACGC